GCAGUGCAUCAAUGAGAGGGUAUAAAAGGCUGGGCUGAAGAACAAGAAGGGCAGACACAGCCUUUUGGAGUGGAAUGAUGCUGCUCUGUAUGGGCAUGUGCCAGAAGCCUUCUGAUGAGAGAUGAGUGGCAGUAUUGGCCUGGACUUGAAACAAAUUCAUCUCUUAUCUACUACACCCUCCUGUAAGAAGUAAUUAUAUUAUAUUAAAGCAAGGAAUCAGUGAGCCAAAUUUUCAGUGAAAAGAUGAAAUACUUGGUUGAGACACCCUGACUGACAUCUCUAGCCUCUGCCUACCUGCUGUCUUUCAGGACAGGGAGGAGGAGAGGAACUUGCCUCUGUCUGGGGCAGAGUGGAGGAGAGAGACUGAAUUGCCAAGGGUCUGUGCUCUGCUCUGCUGCUGCCUCCUGCUUUUGGGUACUUGAUCUCCGAAGGACUCCCAGUCCACAGCCCCAUUUAGAUCUACAAAGAAUAGAUCUAUAAAGCUUUAAAAAAAGUUCAAUUAUGUAGGGAGAGCCAGUCCUUGCUGCCUACAGGCUAGAUAUUGACAUUAAAUACAGCCCCAGGCAAGUGAAACACUGCUCAUAAAUAGCCUCAGGACCUCAAAACACACCUGCUCAACACAAUCCUUCUCCUGGUUACUUUCUAUUCUGAAGGGCAGUACCUCAGUGUUGCCUGUACCAGUGAUAUAUUACUGCUUUCUGUUGUGUUGUCUGCAGCUAUUUUGCUCCUUUCAGUGAUGGUGAUAUCUGUUCCAUGCCCAUCAAUUCCUAGGUUACAGAACAAAGAAGGGCAUGCAAUGUCCUGCUGAUCCUGGGCUAUUUCAUUAGUUCUUGUGCACACCAGCUGUGCACAGCUGCAGCCCUGGAGUUCAGCAUUUACAGUAAAAUUCUUUAUAAAAAGUACUCAGACAAUAAGAGCAGAAAGAGCUGGGUUUGUUUAAAGCAUCUUGGAGAAGUUUUUCCUCUCAGUAGCACCCACACCUUGGCUUUGUCUAUGACCAGAUGCUUGCACUGGUACUGAAUUAACAGUAUCAAUUUUCUUACUGCAGCCAAGGUAAUAGUGAUCAAGUGACUUAAAUAGGUUUAUAGUCCUGGGUACACUGACUCCUCAUGCUUAAUUUUUAUUCUAGGCAAUUUCUUCAAGGCAUCAAAUACUCAAGAAAAAUCAAUAGUCAAACUCUCAGUGUAGAUGAUUUGAUUUUUUAGGAAUAUACAUGAAUUCGUUAGGUGUAUUUUAAGAAAUUGAUUGAAGAAGUUACUGGGACGUGACUCACUCCCCAGUUCACAAUUAUUGAUGUAGCUAUGGUUGAGGAUAACAUUUUACUUUUAGGACCUAAUAAAAAUUUUAAGGAGUGGAAGGACUAGUAAAAAAUGUGGAGAUACUCUCAAUGCAAAGUAUUCUUUGGGAACAUGAAAUAAAGUUAUAUCUCUAUUAAUACAGAAACUUGCUGCACUUGAAAGGAUCUGUCAUACAACAUUUGGCUUACUUGUUGGGCUCCUCAGUGUUGAGAAUGCCUAGUAAUGUCUGCAGCACACAUGGCUCCAUUCAUGAACUUUGUCCUUAGAGUAAGACUGAUUAGAGACCUAAUUUUACUGAUUAAAUGAGGCUUAAAUAUUUAAAUUGCUCUUCUUUUGCAGAUAAUCCAAACAAUCCAGAUAUUUAUUUUAAAAAGUGUUUUUACCUAUAAUUUAAUUACAAGCAAAAAUUUGUAUUUUGAAAAGUUAGGCAGUUCUUCCCAAAGGGCCCAAUUAAUUUUCAAUUACUAUUUUGCAAAUG
Molecule: long non-coding RNA, 1776 nt
Organism: Zonotrichia leucophrys gambelii
Lineage: Eukaryota; Metazoa; Chordata; Aves; Passeriformes; Passerellidae
Exons: 3
Source: RefSeq, a predicted model, not a curated record